GUGUCAGCAGCCGCGGUAAUACGGAGGAUCCAAGCGUUAUCCGGAUUCAUUGGGUUUAAAGGGUGCGUAGGCGGAAUGAUAAGUCAGUGGUGAAAUCUCUUAGCUUAACUAAGAAACUGCCAUUGAUACUGUCAAUCUUGAGUACAUUUGAUGUGGGCGGAAUGUGUCAUGUAGCGGUGAAAUGCUUAGAUAUGACACAGAACACCGAUUGCGAAGGCAGCUCACAAAACUGUAACUGACGCUGAGGCACGAAAGCGUGGGUAUCAAACAGGAUUAGAUACCCUAGUAGUCC
This 292-nucleotide ribosomal RNA is filed under the name uncultured bacterium. RNAcentral's name for it is "partial 16S ribosomal RNA". It matches the Rfam family "Bacterial small subunit ribosomal RNA", at positions 505 to 796 of the family's 1533-position model. The record is from RNAcentral.